GAUGAACGCUAGCGGCAGGCCUAACACAUGCAAGUCGAACGGUAACAGAAAAAGCUUGCUUUUUGAUGACGAGUGGCGCACGGGUGCGUAAUGAAAAGCUAUCUGCCCAUCAGACUGGAAUAGCCCAGGGAAACUUGGAUUAAUGCCGGAUAUGAGGAAACUUGAAAGGUGCGUUUGCAUCACUGGUGGAUGAGGCUUUUUCCUAUUAGCUUGUUGGUGAGGUAAUGGCUCACCAAGGUGAUGAUAGGUAGCCGGCCUGAGAGGGUGAUCGGCCACAUUGGGACUGAGAUACGGCCCAGACUCCUACGGGAGGCAGCAGCUAAGAAUAUUCCGCAAUGGGGGAAACCCUGACGGAGCAAUCUCUCAUGGAUGAUGAAUGUCUUCGGAUUGUAAAAUCCUUUCGGCAAGGAAGAAUGUGUAGAGUAGGAAAUGGCUUUGCAUUGACGGUACUUGCAGAAGAAGUCCCGGCUAACUACGUGCCAGCCGCCGCAGUAACAC
This 498-nucleotide ribosomal RNA is filed under the name uncultured bacterium. RNAcentral describes it as "bacterial SSU rRNA". It matches the Rfam family "Bacterial small subunit ribosomal RNA", at positions 28 to 526 of the family's 1533-position model. The record is from RNAcentral.